GCCCAAGUGGUGUAGUGGUUUAAGCAUUGGACAAAGACUCUGGAGACCAGGGUUCGAAUCCUUGCUCUGUUG
Phrynosoma platyrhinos (Desert horned lizard) is the source of this 72-nucleotide non-coding RNA. NCBI's taxonomy places the organism in Eukaryota, Metazoa, Chordata, Lepidosauria, Squamata, Phrynosomatidae. The record is from the annotation of a GenBank genome assembly.